Phodopus roborovskii (desert hamster) is the source of this 71-nucleotide non-coding RNA. NCBI's taxonomy places the organism in Eukaryota, Metazoa, Chordata, Mammalia, Rodentia, Cricetidae. The record is from the annotation of a RefSeq genome assembly.
UAGAAUAUAGUAUAAAGGUAGUACGUAGAAUUUUGAAUUCUAAAGUAUAGGUUCAAUUCCUGUUGUCCUAG